Molecule: ribosomal RNA, 327 nt
Filed under: uncultured microorganism
Description: bacterial SSU rRNA
Rfam family: Archaeal small subunit ribosomal RNA
Source: RNAcentral
GCGCAGCAGGCGCGAAACCUCCGCAAUGCUCGAAAGAGCGACGGGGGGACUCCAAGUGCCUACGCUCAGCGUAGGCUGUUCCCGAGCCUAAAAAGCUCGGGGAGUAAGGGCUGGGUAAGACGGGUGCCAGCCGCCGCGGUAAUACCCGCAGCCCGAGUGGUGGCCGCUAUUAUUGGGCCUAAAGCGUCCGUAGCCGGCUCGGUAAAUGCUUGGGUAAAAUCGUCUGGCCCAACCAGACGAAUUCCGGGUAGACUGCCGGGCUAGGGACCGGAGGAGGGAGAGGGUACUCCAGGGGUAGGGGUGAAAAUCAGCAAAGGUGAGUUGCUG